This is a long non-coding RNA of Rhododendron vialii, 1019 nucleotides long. RefSeq lists it as uncharacterized. The transcript is spliced from 2 exons. The record is from RefSeq and is a predicted model, not a curated record. NCBI's taxonomy places the organism in Eukaryota, Viridiplantae, Streptophyta, Magnoliopsida, Ericales, Ericaceae.
GGUUCGGAGGCGACAACGAGUUCCGUAGCUCCAAGUAGGGAGUGACUGUGUUGGUUUUCUUUUUGUUGGAGACCGAGUUUUGCAGGUAUAGGUCAGUGUCCACUACAGGUCGCAUUUUGCGUUUUGUGACUCGCUCGAGGAGUGUGUGGUUGAGGCCUGUGGGAGUCUUGACUCCUGGCCCAUAGAUGAUAUUUGCCUAGUUUAGUUUUUUUUUGGAUAAUUGUUGGUUAUGUAAAGUUUAUUUCUUGAUAGACUUCCGCUGUAGUUUGUAAAUGACAAUUAUUUUGAGAUGUAAAUAAAAUGUGGCUGUUGAACUUCAGUUUUUAGUUAUUCUUGGAAUUGCUAGUAGCUGGCUUUUUGUUGGGUUGUUGUCGCGUGUCGUAUUGGGAUAGACUGAUGAGGUGCUAUUCCGGAACGGGGUGUGACAAGCACCUUCAAUAAUUCAUGUCAAAUCCACACACUAUAUCACUACUCUUCUAGUUUCUCUGCUAUCGGCUAUCAGUCAAUGCACUUGCAUGAGGCCUUACGUGAGUUUGAGUUGUAAAAUUGAAGUGUUCAUUUCCAUCUGUUUCAAUGUCCUUGAUGCACUUGUUUUCCUAUGCUUUGUAGAGUCAAUACCUUCAGAAUUUUUCCGUCAGGUUACAAUGUCCUUGAUGCACAAAUACUAUAUUGGCAUACAUCAGCUUCUCUGCCUUUUUAACUAUUCUAACCAAACAAUUCCAAAUUCAUUAGUAUUAGUAUUCAUGAACCAACAAAGCAUAGCUACUAAACAAAGUAACAGACCAAUGGAAUGGAAACACCAGAGAUAUAAGAAUCAAGAAUCCUAACCUUCUGUACAUUCAACAUCCUCUCGUAUAGAUCAAGUACCAGUUCCAAAUUAGCAUUCGAAUUCCGGUUCUUGACAUUGACCGCGACAGCAGCUUUAUUGUCCCGUAUCCACUUGAAAUCUAUUGCCGCUUUCCACUGCGGUUUCACAACUGAACCGGAUACCAAAAACAAUAGCAAGCACAUAAACCAAA